Molecule: ribosomal RNA, 313 nt
Filed under: gut metagenome
Description: bacterial LSU rRNA
Rfam family: Bacterial large subunit ribosomal RNA
Source: RNAcentral
AGAACGUCGUGAGACAGUUCGGUCCCUAUCCGGCGCGGGCGUAGGAGAUCUGAGAGGAGCUGUCCUUAGUACGAGAGGACCGGGAUGGACGAACCUCCAGUGUACCUGUUGGGGAUCAACCCCAUGGCAGGGUAGCUGUGUUUGGAAGGGAUAAACGCUGAAGGCAUCUAAGCGUGAAGCCCCCCUCAAGAUGAGAUCUCCCACUCCUAUAUGGAGGUAAGACCCCUUAAAGAGUAUGAGGUUGAUAGGGCAGAGGUGUAAGUGUGGCAACACAUUCAGCUGACUGUUACUAAUAGGUCGAGGGCUUAUCCGC